Molecule: ribosomal RNA, 393 nt
Filed under: uncultured Chloroflexota bacterium
Lineage: Bacteria; Bacillati; Chloroflexota
Description: bacterial SSU rRNA
Rfam family: Bacterial small subunit ribosomal RNA
Source: RNAcentral
AAUGGGCGAAAGCCUGACGCAGCCAUGCCGCGUGAGCGACGAAGGCCUUCGGGUUGUAAAGCUCUGUCUAAGGGGACGAAACAAUGACGGUACCCUUAAAGAAAGCACCGGCUAACUCCGUGCCAGCAGCCGCGGCAAUACGGAGGGUGCGAGCGUUGUUCGGAAUUACUGGGCGUAAAGCGCGUGUAGGCGGCACACAAGUCGGGUGUGAAAGCCCAUGGCUCAACCAUGGAACUGCGCUCGAAACUGUAGAGCUAGAAUACGGGAGGGGGAUGCGGAAUUCUUGGUGUAGAGGUGAAAUUCGUAGAUAUCAAGGGGAACAUCCGUAGCGAAGGCGGCAUCCUGGACCGAUAUUGACGCUGAGACGCGAAAGCGUGGGUAGCGAACAGGAUU